GACGAACGCUGGCGGCGUGCUUAACACAUGCAAGUCGAACGGAAAGGCCGUGCGUUUGUGGGGUGCUGGAGUGGCGAACGGGUGAGUAACACGUGAGUAACCUGCCCUUGACUUUGGGAUAACUUCAGGAAACUGGGGCUAAUACCGGAUAGGAGCUCCCGCUGCAUGGUGGGGGGUGGAAAGUUUCGGCGGGUGGGGAUGGACUCGCGGCUUAUCAGCUUGUUGGUGGGGUAGUGGCUUACCAAGGCAUUGACGGGUAGCCGGCCCGGGAGGGUGACCGGCCUCAUUGGGACUACGGUACGGACCAGACUCCUACGGGAGGCAGCAGUGGGAAGUAUUACACAGUGAGCGGGAGCCUGUUGCGGAGACGCCGCGUGCGGAAUGACGGCCUUCUGGUUGUGAACCGCUUUCGCCUGUGACGCAGCGUGAGUGACGGUAAUGAAUAAAGAAGCACCGGCUAACUACGUG
This 468-nucleotide ribosomal RNA is filed under the name uncultured bacterium. Its description in RNAcentral is "partial 16S ribosomal RNA". It matches the Rfam family "Bacterial small subunit ribosomal RNA", at positions 28 to 507 of the family's 1533-position model. The record is from RNAcentral.